UUAGUCUCACCCACCCCAAAAUCUAAUCAAACCCAACCGCCCCAAAAUAACUCUCACCGGCCGGCGGCAUGCUCCAAACCACCCCAAAAUUCAACCAUGCAAUCCUUACACAUCCUUCUUCCUAAAUUCAUCAGUAUCUUUCCCUAAACCCAGCCAAAUUUUCCCAAUUUUGGAUCUAAAAUUGAAAAAUGCAAGCCCUAAUUUCCCUAUAUUCUCUUAUUUUUUCAAAUUUCGACUCGUUCUAACUCGGAUCUUACAUUAAUAGAUUACUCUCAACGGGAGUAAUCGAUUUAUGAUAGUUUUGAGUGAUUACCAGGAUGUCAGAUUUGACUGAUUUACCGACUCUGGAAAAACUUCGGCUCCUUUCAUCGUUCGUUGAGUCAUCUCAAUUUGUCAGUUCAUUCCGGCAAGAAUUGGUACAUUUCCCUUCGUUUCUCUCUUGACUUUGUUUCUUGCACCAUUUUUCUGUUUUUUAUAUUAUCAUGCUUACAUUUGUUUCGUAAUUUUGUUUUCUUUAUUAGUUGAUUAAUCUUAGUUUGUUUUGUUUUCAAUUUUUUAAUAGCAUAAGUUAGGGUUAAUCGUCAAAACAUCUAAUUUCGAAUUGUUUUAUUUUUUUCUACUUUUUAUAAUCACUGAAGUUGAUUUUGGUUUGAUCAUUUUGGCUGAUUGGGCUUUUGGUCAUCUCUGACUCGGUUUAAAGAGGUCUAUUCAUUUGGGUUGGGUCUUGGGUCAAAUUCGACCCAUGUGUGAUUCAUUUCGGAUGUAAAUCCAGGGGUGUCUAGGAAUGUUUUAGGUAUUUGAGGACUUGGGGGAAUAUUUUUUGUUGUGGGAAGCUUCUAGAUGAUAAGGUUGGGUUGGUUUAUUAAGAGAUAAGGGAGGUUUCAGAUAUUUUAGAAGGGUUUAGGGAUAAAAUGACCAAGAAAUUAAGGGGUAGAAGGGGAAUUAGCUAAUCAGGCUAGUGCUGCUUUAGAAAUGCCUCUAUAAGGACUCUUUACUUCCAAUUUGAGGUAGAUAUUGGAACCUAUAGAAAAUAUACAAAACAUUAUACAUUGUGUGAGAGAGUUCAAUGGGUUUUCACUUUUGAUUUUCCUUCAUGUAAAAAGAACAAACACACUCUGAAGCUUCAUUUUCUAGAUAUCUGAUUCCAAAAUGGGUUUGAGCUGAAGUUGUUUGCUCGAUGAUUAGUUGCUGCUUCUUUGCUUUCUUGCUUCACAGAAUUUCAAUGUUUUUCUCAUCAUUUUGCUCUUGCUCUCUAGGUAUUCUUUUGGGCUUUGAUGACUCCUGUAGCACAUACGUACUUAGAUAUAUGAAAUUGUAAUGGGAACUUCCAUGAAUGAAUCAAGGAUUUUUGGUUUCCUCCUAUAUGUGUUUUAUUGAAUCUCUAUGUCUAUUUUCGUUUAUUGUCUUUUAAUUUACUAUGAUCAUUGUGUGAUGUGCUGAAUGGAAAAUGAUUUAGGAAAAAAUUCGUAUGUUAGGAUCUAGAUGUUAAUGUCUAGAUUUUCAUAUUAGUAGAUAGCUUUUGUGGUUGCUUUCACAUUUAGGAUUGUUAAUUUGAAUGUCAUGUUAAUGUUGGCUGUUGAAAUUACAUAGUUUAAUAAUCUAAUUUUAGCAAUGUUAGAGUAUUUUGUUGGUGCAAGAAUUAGUGUGUUUUAAAAGAGUAUCUUUGGAUCCAUGUUGAUCUUACUAUUGUUUGUAAGCAGAAUUAAAAAUUUAAAUGCGUAAUAUGGUGAUGCUCGUUCUUGUCUUAUGUUUUUCUUAAAAUCCUUUAAGGGAUUACGCUAAUUUGGGCAGCCUGGAAAUAGGCCUUUCAUGCAGGUUUCCGCCCCUUGUCACUCCUUUGGACCAACUUUGAGCCUUAUUAUAUCCAUCAGAUUUUAGCUCAUCAGUUUUGUAAUUAAUAUAGUAAAAGGAGUUUCUUUAAGUAUUGUAUGGCCCUUCUCAUUUUAAUGCUGGGUUUGGAAUCUAGCACAGCCCUUUCUUGUGCUCUUUUUUUCAAAAAACAUUAAAUUAUAUUGGGCCUAUCGCUGGUCUAAACCAUUUCAAGUGAUUAAAAUGCCUGGUUUUAUCCAAUAUGAGAUUAUAAUUAGUAGGGGUAAUUUGAACCUUGAUUUAUAGUAUAUCCAUGCAUCUUGAACCCUUUUUUUAAUUAAGUAUUUUCCCCUACCAAUGAAUUGAGGUGUGCCAUUUAAUUAAAUCACCCAUGACCCUCAUAAAUGUUAUAAUUUAGAUAUUUAAAAAUAAACUUCGUAGUUUACUUUAGAUGCAUUAAUUAUAUAAUUAUCACGGCUACUAUUAAAAUUUGGGUGUACAUUUCAUGUGAUCCGGUUCUAAUUUCCAACAAGGUUAAAUAGGACGUGUUGUGUGUCAAGGAUGUAUUUCAUGUAGCGUGGCUUGCGUUUUUUUAAAUAACCUUGAAAUAGUUCCUUAAAUAAGUAAAACCGGUUUUAAAAUUAAAAAUGCACAUAGGUUUUAAAAUAUUGUAAAAUAAAAUAAUUAGGCCAAUAAAAAUUGUUGAGCGACCGUGCUAGAACCACAGAAUCCGGGAAUGGCUAACACUUUCUUCCGGGUUAACAGAACUCCUUACCCAGAUUUCCGUGUUCGCGGUCUAUAUAAUAGAGUCAAUCUUUCCUCGAUUUGGGAUUUAAACCGGUGAGUUCGGACACAAUAAAUUAUCCCAAGUGCUGACUCCGAAUAAGUAAAAACAAUCAUGUUUCGAUUGUCACUUAAAUUAGAUAAACUCCCUUAUACCCUUUCGGGGAUAGGAAAAAGGAGAUGUGACAGUAACUCCAUCGCAUGUGCACUUCGCGAGCGGGGAAAAUCUCUUCAAAAGCUUCACGUUGAAUUGUCCUAAUUUUGAAAGGAAUCAAGAAAAAGGAUUUUGAUUUUUUAAUAAUUUACAUUUAAUUGUGUCGCAUGUAUGAUUCGCGAGCGGGGUAUUUCCUUCUACUACUCCUAUGAAAUCAGGUCGUCCACUUCGGCAGGAUUUAUGUACCACAUUUUCAUGGGAGCAGGCCGUUCACCUCGGUAGGUUAAUAGAUGCAUCUAUGGUUCGCGCGUUCGAUCUCGGCAAUGCACAAACCGGCCAUUCACCUCGGUAGGUUAUUCUUAUGGAAUUUGUAAUAUUUGGCUAGAAAAUGGUGUAUCUUAGCGUUUUUCCCUGAUUUGAUUUAUGACAAACUCUUGAUGAUAUCCACUAUAUCUUUAUAUAUGCUCUGGAUAUGGAGGGAACUUGCUAGUUGAGAGCUUGAGAAAAGAAGUGUAAAGAAGGAAAUUGUACCACGUAUUUAAUACAUGUUUAUCUCAUAUAUUUACUCUGUGUCAUAUUUAUUCAUUUCUCUACUGUAUUUGAUAUUAUUGGACCACUAUUAAGUGUCGAAAUCGACCUCUCGUCACUACUUCUUCGAGGUUAGACGGGAUACUUACUGUGUAUGCAUUUCUUUGUUACUCAUACUACACUUGUUGUGCUUUUUUGUUGCAUAGGCACACGUAUGCCUAGUGGCCUCGUUGGGCGCAACAGUAUGGUGGAUAUAGUGACUUUGGUGAGUUGCAUCUCUCGAGAUGACCCUCAACCAGCCGAGUCUCCUUUAGAGUAUUGUAUUUUCAUUUCUGUCCAAUUUGUAUCCCGAACAAUUAUUGUAUUACAUAUUAAAUUCCUAAAAAAUUCCUCAUGAACUUGUGACACCGGGUUCUGGGGUGGAUAUGAACCUUAUAUUUAAGUCCAGUAACCGAAUUCUAAGACUAGCUAGAUGAUGAACCUCAGGGGUUAUUCUCCUCUUUUCUGGCUGUAAAUAUGACACGCUACCAUAGAUUUAUGGCUGAGGGCAUCGGUUACUCUUUUUGCCUUCCCCGGAUGGUAUAAAGUAUCAAUGUCAUAGUUUUUAAGUAGCUCCAACAUCUCUUAUGACAUUAAUUUAAUUCCUUUGUUUUUUUAGGAUAUACUAGAGGAUCUUAUGAUCCAUAUAGAUAUCAACACGAAUGCCAUAUAAGUAGUGCCUCCACAUCUUUAGUGCAUUAAUCAUCGUGGCUAACUCUAAAUCAUGGGUCGGGUAGUUCUUCUCGUGCAUUAUUAGUUAUCCAGAAGCAUAAGUUACAAACUUACCAUGAUGCAUCAUCACACAACCUAAUCGAACGCCUGAAGCGUCACAAUAGAUAACAUAACCAUCGGUCCCUUCUGGGAAUGGUAGAACUUGUGCUGAAGUUAAUUUGUCCUUCAAUGACUGGACACUAUGUUUGCAAGCAUCGGUCCAUUGAAACUUAAUUCCUUUCUGAGUUAACUUACAUAGGUAUCCUAAUCUUUUACAAUUCAUGAAAUUCCCCUUUUAAGAGGCCCAAACUUUAUCAUUUAUCCAUCAUACUUUUGCCCUUAUUCCACUAUUAGGGCAGCAUUUCAUCUAUUCUAUAUGCUAAUAGUCUUAGACUCCUUUGAGUUCAUUCAGGCUAUACUGAGCCUUCUGCAACUUAGUGAAAUCAUCAGCUCUGGUAUGAACUUAACCCUAAGGACUUAUCCAUUCCCGUUACCUUUUCACUUAUCUUUUCUUAUCCUUCAUCUUGUCUUCUAAAACCUUGUCGCUCUAUCAAAUUUUAGCUAGCUACCUACACCUAUCUAUUUAUACUUAUUCGCAACCUUCCUUCAAAUUUCUUGUGCCAAAGAUUCCCUUAUGUUAUUCUGGAACAUCAAGCAAGACACCACAUACCACUUUGGUCAAAGUUGCUUAGAAGAGAAGAAAAUUCUGUUACAAGUUUCCCAUAAUAACCUGCCAAACGGAGAAGGCACGAAUGUUCGUCAGUGUUGUGGGUCUAGGCCAAGUCUUCACUGCUUCAGUCUUUUGUGCAUCCACCUGGAUGCCUUCACAAAAAAUGAUAUGUCCAAAGAAAGCUACAGAGUUCAACCAAAAUUCAUAUUUAGAGAAUUUUCCAUGCAACUUCUCUUUUUAUAAAAGUUUGAGCACAUUGCGCAAACGGAUUUUCAUUCUCAGCCUCUGAACGAGAAUAUACAAAUAUAUAUCAUCGUUAAAUAUGAUUAUGAACAUAUCUAAAAAGGGCCUGAACACAUAGUUCAUCGAAUCCAUGAUACUGCUGGGGAAUUGGUCAAAUCGAACGACAUAACACAAAACGCAAAGUGGCCGUAUCUGGUUCUAAAUGUUGUCUUCGGAAUACUUCAUCCUUAACACUUAUCCGAUGGUACCCGGACCUCAGUUCUAUCUUUGAAAAACACUUGGCACAUUGCAACUAAUCAAAUAAAUCAUCAAUCCUCAGGAGCAGGUACUUAUUCUUAAUGUUCACCUUAUUGAACUGUGUAUAAUCAAUACAUAUAUGUAGGGAACCAUCCUUCUUUCUCACAAUUAAAUAGGUUCUCCCCAUGGUGAUGUACUAGGUAUGAUAAAGCUAUUUUCCAAGAAAGUCCCUUAGUUGUUCGUUUAACUCCUUCAGCUCUGCAGGGGCCAUUCUAUAGGGAAGAAUAGAUAUUGGAUGAGUAUCUGGUAUUAGGUCAAUGUUCUCGCUCUGGGGAAAGGC
RNAcentral lists this long non-coding RNA (5514 nucleotides) under Nicotiana benthamiana. RNAcentral describes it as "long non-coding RNA (NBEN_LNC031744)". The record is from RNAcentral. Lineage: Eukaryota; Viridiplantae; Streptophyta; Magnoliopsida; Solanales; Solanaceae.